Molecule: long non-coding RNA, 371 nt
Filed under: Olea europaea subsp. europaea
Lineage: Eukaryota; Viridiplantae; Streptophyta; Magnoliopsida; Lamiales; Oleaceae
Source: RNAcentral
UGCUCCAGAGGAGGCGGUAGAGAGGUAUAAGGCCUCUGCUGAGUAUACUUGGGACUUAGAGGCAUCUGUGGAGCAAUACAAGUCAUCGUCUGAUUAGAUGAGGGCCUUGCAUUCGUACGAGGGGAAGGCGAUGGCAGCGUCCAUCAAACUAACCAAGGAGUGGAUAUCGAUCGAGCACCCUUCUAUUGACCCCUCAGGUUUUGAUAAGUUCCUUGCGCAGCGCAAGGGGAAGGAGAGCGGGGCGCAGCCAUCUAGGUCACUUGGUCAUUCGUCGCGAGGCAGCAGCGGUGGCGCUUCCCCUUCGAGUUGAAGCAUGGCUUAGUAGCAACAUCUUUUGUUAGUUCCCUCUUUUUUGUGUCGCCUUUUAUUUC